UAGAGCCUGCCCUGUGCGUGGUGAAGGAGUUUAUAUUGGGGUCCACAUGGUGAGGCAAUAGGGAGCCCGGUCUCCGGAGGGGCCAGAAAGGCUUUCCGGGAGGGCACCCACCUGUUAUUGUUGGGGCCCACCGAAGGCUCCUUCCUCCACGGCAUGGGCGGGUAUUUC
This 168-nucleotide non-coding RNA is filed under the name Aquificaceae bacterium. RNAcentral's name for it is "6S RNA". It matches the Rfam family "6S / SsrS RNA". From Rfam's summary of the family: E. coli 6S RNA was the first non coding RNA to be sequenced, but its function was unknown until recently. It consists of 184 nucleotides that fold into an extended hairpin structure with a large single-stranded internal bulge. The 6S RNA specifically associates with RNA polymerase holoenzyme containing the sigma70 specificity factor. RNAcentral also lists the same sequence under 2 other names. The record is from RNAcentral. Lineage: Bacteria; Pseudomonadati; Aquificota; Aquificia; Aquificales; Aquificaceae.